GAUGAACGCUAGCGGCAGGCCUAACACAUGCAAGUCGAGGGGCAGCACAGAAACAGCAAUGUUUUGGUGGCGACCGGCGGACGGGUGCGUAACGCGUAUGCAACCUACCUUUAACAGGGGGAUAACGGAGAGAAAUUUCCACUAAUACCCCAUAACAUCGAUCAAGGCAUCUUGAUUGGUUGAAAACUCCGGUGGUUAAAGAUGGGCAUGCGUUGUAUUAGGUAGUUGGUGAGGUAAUGGCUCACCAAGCCUACGAUACAUAGGGGGACUGAGAGGGUAGCCCCCCACACUGGUACUGAGACACGGACCAGACUCCUACGGGAGGCAGCAGUGAGGAAUAUUGGUCAAUGGGGGCAACCUUGAACCAGCCAUGCCGCGUGCAGGAAGGCGGCUCUAUGAGUUGUAAGCUGCUUUUAAACAGGGAUAAAGCACAGUAUGUAUACUGUGUUGAAGGUACUGUAAGAAUAAGGAUCGGCUAACUCCGUGCCAGCCGCCGCCGUAA
This 502-nucleotide ribosomal RNA is filed under the name uncultured bacterium. Its description in RNAcentral is "partial 16S ribosomal RNA". It matches the Rfam family "Bacterial small subunit ribosomal RNA", at positions 28 to 523 of the family's 1533-position model. The record is from RNAcentral.